AUUGAACGCUGGCGGCAUGCCUUACACAUGCAAGUCGAACGGCAGCACGGGAGCAAUCCUGGUGGCGAGUGGCGAACGGGUGAGUAAUAUAUCGGAGCGUGCCCGGUCGUGGGGAUAACGUAGCGAAAGCUACGCUAAUACCGCAUACGAUCUACGGAUGAAAGCGGGGGAUCGCAAGACCUCGCGCGAUUGGAGCGGCCGAUAUCAGAUUAGGUAGUUGGUGAGGUAAAGGCUCACCAAGCCGACGAUCUGUAGCUGGUCUGAGAGGACGACCAGCCACACUGGGACUGAGACACGGCCCAGACUCCUACGGGAGGCAGCAGUGGGGAAUUUUGGACAAUGGGCGCAAGCCUGAUCCAGCAAUGCCGCGUGCAGGAUGAAGGCC
Molecule: ribosomal RNA, 385 nt
Filed under: uncultured bacterium
Lineage: Bacteria
Description: bacterial SSU rRNA
Rfam family: Bacterial small subunit ribosomal RNA
Source: RNAcentral